Molecule: non-coding RNA, 69 nt
Organism: Parelaphostrongylus tenuis
Lineage: Eukaryota; Metazoa; Nematoda; Chromadorea; Rhabditida; Metastrongylidae
Source: the annotation of a GenBank genome assembly
ACCUUGGUGGUGCAGUGGUGACACGUGUCCCCGGUUUGGAUGAAACGCGGGUUCGACUCCCGCUAGGUU